This 229-nucleotide long non-coding RNA is filed under the name Trifolium pratense (red clover). Its description in RNAcentral is "long non-coding RNA (TPRA_LNC004484)". The record is from RNAcentral. Lineage: Eukaryota; Viridiplantae; Streptophyta; Magnoliopsida; Fabales; Fabaceae.
UAUCAAACCGUCAGGACCUACCUUAAAUAAAUAUGGAUCAUCCCAAAGAUAAAAUUUAGCGUCUUGGAAAAAUUUCUUUCUCUGCUGCCAACUAUAAUCAUCUGGGACUAAAUUUCCUGCUUUAAAAUUUUCCAUGUCUGCGAACAAUGGUCUUUCAGUCACUGUUAAUAGCUGCUCAUCUGGGAACUCAACUACUAUACUUUUCUCCUUUUUCGUUAUUUCGGGGUUU